GGGGACGUGGCUCAGCGGCAGAGCACCUGCCUUGCAGGCACAAGGCCGUGGGUUCGAGUCCCUAGCUCCA
This 70-nucleotide transfer RNA is filed under the name Cavia porcellus (domestic guinea pig). It matches the Rfam family "tRNA". Rfam says of the family: Transfer RNA (tRNA) molecules are approximately 80 nucleotides in length. Their secondary structure includes four short double-helical elements and three loops (D, anti-codon, and T loops). The record is from Rfam by way of RNAcentral. Lineage: Eukaryota; Metazoa; Chordata; Mammalia; Rodentia; Caviidae.